Molecule: non-coding RNA, 72 nt
Organism: Parelaphostrongylus tenuis
Lineage: Eukaryota; Metazoa; Nematoda; Chromadorea; Rhabditida; Metastrongylidae
Source: the annotation of a GenBank genome assembly
GACUCAGUGGUGCAGUGGUAGCACGCAUCCCGGAUAAGGGCGAUACGCAUGUUCAACUCCUGCCUGAGCUCG